AUUGUUCGAAAUAUAUAUUUCGUAUUAUGAUUAUAUUGGUUACUUAUAAUAAAGUAUAUUAUUAUCCGUACAAAUUUGUU
RNAcentral lists this unclassified non-coding RNA (80 nucleotides) under Drosophila melanogaster (fruit fly). RNAcentral's name for it is "external transcribed spacer". Lineage: Eukaryota; Metazoa; Arthropoda; Insecta; Diptera; Drosophilidae. The record is from RNAcentral.